CAUGUAGGCGGUUUUUUAAGUCCGGAGUGGAAAUGCGGGGCUCAACCCCGUAUGGCUCUGGAUACUGGAAGACUUGAGUGCAGGAGAGGAAAGGGGAAUUCCCAGUGUAGCGGUGAAAUGCGUAGAUAUUGGGAGGAACACCAGUGGCGAAGGCGCCUUUCUGGACUGUGUCUGACGCUGAGAUGCGAAAGCCAGGGUAGCGAACG
This 206-nucleotide ribosomal RNA is filed under the name uncultured bacterium. RNAcentral's name for it is "partial 16S ribosomal RNA". It matches the Rfam family "Bacterial small subunit ribosomal RNA", at positions 568 to 774 of the family's 1533-position model. The record is from RNAcentral.